CGCUUCUUGUUAUUAAUAGAUUGGAAGUCGUUCCUGCUCAAUGAUGUGCGCAUUCAAUAGCAGCGGUAUAACUGACCGUUCAAAGGUAGUGUAAUUUCUAGUCCUUUAAUUGUGGGCCAAUGAAUGGAUUGACGGGUUGUGAUUGUCUCGAUUAUGUUUAGUAGAAUUUAACUUUUGGGUGAAGAGGCCUAGAUAGUGUAGGGGGACGAAAAGACCCUGUCAAACUUUAAUUAAAUGACACCAUUGUUUAUGGUGAUGGUAUGUUGUGUGAAAUUUUAGUUGGGGCAACUGGGAAGGAUAAAUACUUUUAAGAAAAUUUAAAUGUUUUAUUAAUUUGGAUAUCCAGAUAUUUUGAAUAUAGAAUAAGUUACUGGAGGGAUAACAGCAUAAUUCUUUUGGAGAGUGCGUAUUGAUAAAAGAGUUUGUGACCUCGAUGUUGAAUUGAAGCUAUCUUCUAGGUUGUAGCAGCUUAGGUAGUGGGUCUGUUCGCCCUUUAAUGCUUCCCA
The sequence is a ribosomal RNA, 506 nucleotides long. It matches the Rfam family "Bacterial large subunit ribosomal RNA", at positions 1817 to 2600 of the family's 2925-position model.